Molecule: long non-coding RNA, 915 nt
Organism: Ochotona curzoniae (black-lipped pika)
Lineage: Eukaryota; Metazoa; Chordata; Mammalia; Lagomorpha; Ochotonidae
Exons: 3
Source: RefSeq, a predicted model, not a curated record
GAUUAAAGGGAAAAGUAGUGCCCUCCCCCAGAGGGAACUAUUUCAGAGGGAAACCCAGAAACCCCACUUUCCAGAUCUUAAAAAGGUCGGGCAGGCGGCGAGUCGGGGGGCACAAAGGACUCUUUUGAAGAUUCUGAGGAAUGAGUUGGGGCUGGGGAUUGAUUGAGUCUUUCCCAAGAUCUACAAUUCAACUUCAUGCAGAAAUAAUAUCAAAGCCUUGUUCCUGCACCUGCUAAUUAUAGGACUACAAUGUGCUCCCUCAGACAGAGCGUCCGGUCUCUGCUAAUAUGGUUAGAGAACAGCAGAAGAUGACCCAGGUAUGUGCAACUGCUGCAAACCACAUCAGGAAGGAAUUCUGGAUUCCUAGUUUUGACCCAGCCCAGACAACUGCAGUCAUUUGGGGAAUGACACAGUAGAGGAAGAACUCUAUUGCCCUAUCUUUCUGUAACUCUGCCUUCCAAAUAAGUAUGCCUUUCUCCAUUUUAUAUAAAAGUGAUUUAGAAUUAUUCAAAUUUAAGAAGUGAAAGAUUGCUUGAGAGCAUAUGGGAGAGCAAGACAAGUUUGAAGAAAUCAGAGACCUAUAUAGAAAGCCAAGAGGAUGAGUUCAUAGCACUAAGACAUAGCACAUUGCCAGAGUCUGAUUGUGAGAAUUCCUAUAGAUCAUAGAAAGAUUUGACAGUAAGAUUUUGGAUAUUUGACCAGAUUAAGAAAAUGAGAUAUGAACUUGGAUUUCUAUAGUUGCAGUGACAAGAUUAGAAUAUAGGACAUCCCAACUGGGCACUGAAAGCUGCUUUUGUAAAAGUCAGAAUGGUGUAAAGAUUGACUAGGCAAUAAGAAAUAGAAAAACAGAAAUAUUCAGCAACAUAACUCCCUGAGGGUAUGCUGAGGCAGAGACAGGGUCAAGCAUGGUGCCUA